CAUGAUAUUUAAUAAUAAUAAAGUUUUAAAAAUUAUAGUUGAUUUAAAUAAUUUUUAAAGUAAAAAAAAACUUAAAGCUCAUUCUUUGUACUUGCAGGUGAUUCUCAGCCCUCUCCCCCCAGCCUCAAUGUCAGCAAACCUGAUUCUCACAUUCUGAAUGUAUAUAAGAAAUGAGGAGGGCUGAACGGAGACGUGGUUUAAUUUCCCUUCUCAGAAGAUUCUUUGAUUUACAAAAGGUAGCCUCACAGGAUUUGUGUAAACAUCAGGCCAAGUGUCUUUAAUUCAACCUAAUCAUCUCCAAGGCAACGGAGAAGAUCACGGAUUUCCCGGCUGGCUUACCUGCGGGCGGCUGUGGGGCUGACACCGCCCCGCCACACGGGGGAGCUGCCGCGCUUCGGGGGCGCAGGGGACGCUGGGAGCGGCUGUUCAGAGAGGAGCCUGGGAGCCGUGGCCAGCGAAGGAGCGUGGGCUUCUCUGGGCCAGAGGCUGCGUCUUCGAGCUCCGUAGUCUUCGGGAAGAAUGAGGACAGAUCUCUUCUGGGGACAGUUGGUCCUAGCGGUUGGAUUCCAAACACCAGACAUAUUGCUUGGCACUUAGAGAUCUCAACGUGGGUUCAUGGAUGAAUGCGUAAGCUCUUCUGUUUUAUUCUCAUUUCUUCAUCAUGAUAUGUCUACUAUUUAUCUUACCGUCACCUCAGCACCAUGAUGCCUGUCCCACUCCUAACUUCUAGGUGUAGCCCUCAGGACCAUAUGACAUCACACUAAGCCAAAGACAACUCAGCAGACAGCUAGCUGUGUGUUGUCUGGUUUGGACUUAUGAGCUAUCCCAAUCAGGUUUUUUUUUUUUUUUUUUUUUUCCCCCUAAAAAUCUGAACUAUUUUGUAUUCAGUCAAGAGAGCUUUGAAUCAGGAAGGUUCUAGAAACCUGGGACAUGGGUGUUUUUGAGAUCAUGUGAAAGCUGAUAAGUUUCCGAGGAGGCGAGCCUGCAGAGGGAAGAGAAUGGAGGAGGCGUGUGGAGAUAAGUGAGCUGGGAGGCCACGU
This 1040-nucleotide long non-coding RNA is filed under the name Sus scrofa (pig). RNAcentral describes it as "lncRNA (ENSSSCG00015047842.1)". Lineage: Eukaryota; Metazoa; Chordata; Mammalia; Artiodactyla; Suidae. The record is from RNAcentral.